This 205-nucleotide unclassified non-coding RNA is filed under the name uncultured fungus. RNAcentral describes it as "sequence contains ITS1". The record is from RNAcentral. Lineage: Eukaryota; Fungi.
UUAACUAUUAUAUAGUACUCAGACUUCAUAUACAAACAGAGUUUAGGUCCUCUGGCAGACGCGAGCCGGCCGGAGCCAGCAGCCCGAGGGCAGGCUUGCCAAAGCAACAAAGUGUAAUAAACAAAGGGUGGUAGGUUACCCAGGAGGCCUUGCGGCAACCUGGGUGACUACUGUAAUGAUCCUUCCGCAGGUUCACCUACGGAAA